Molecule: ribosomal RNA, 375 nt
Filed under: uncultured prokaryote
Description: bacterial SSU rRNA
Rfam family: Bacterial small subunit ribosomal RNA
Source: RNAcentral
GACGGGGGAGGCAAGCGUUGUCCGGAAUUAUUGGGCGUAAAGAGCGCGUAGGUGGUUUGUAAAGUCAUUUGUGAAAACUUUAGGCUUAACUUAAAGACUGCAAGUGAUACUGACAAACUUGAGUACAGUAGAGGAAAGUGGAAUUCCUGGUGUAGCGGUGAAAUGCGCAGAUAUCAGGAAGAACACCAGUGGCGAAGGCGGCUUUCUGGGCUGUUACUGACACUGAGGCGCGAAAGCUAGGGGAGCGAACAGGAUUAGAUACCCUGGUAGUCCUAGCUGUAAACGAUGGAUACUAGGUGUGGGGAGUUAUCGACGCUUUCCGUGCCGAAGCUAACGCAUUAAGUAUCCCGCCUGGGGAGUACGGCCGCAAGGCUA